RNAcentral lists this ribosomal RNA (379 nucleotides) under uncultured bacterium. RNAcentral describes it as "bacterial SSU rRNA". It matches the Rfam family "Bacterial small subunit ribosomal RNA", at positions 29 to 410 of the family's 1533-position model. The record is from RNAcentral.
AUUGAACGCUGGCGGCAUGCCUUACACAUGCAAGUCGAGCGGCAGCGCGGGGGCAACCCUGGCGGCGAGCGGCGAACGGGUGAGUAAUACAUGGAACGUGUCCAGUAGCGGGGGAUAACCUGUCGAAAGAUAGGCUAAUACCGCAUACGACCUACGGGUGAAAGCGGGGGACCGCAAGGCCUCGCACUAUUGGAGCGGCCGAUGUCGGAUUAGCUAGUUGGCGGGGUAACGGCCCACCAAGGCGACGAUCCGUAGCUGGUCUGAGAGGACGACCAGCCACACUGGAACUGAGACACGGUCCAGACUCCUACGGGAGGCAGCAGUGGGGAAUUUUGGACAAUGGGCGCAAGCCUGAUCCAGCCAUGCCGCGUGAGUGAAG